Molecule: ribosomal RNA, 497 nt
Filed under: uncultured bacterium
Lineage: Bacteria
Description: partial 16S ribosomal RNA
Rfam family: Bacterial small subunit ribosomal RNA
Source: RNAcentral
GAUGAACGCUGGCGGCGUGCCUAAUACAUGCAAGUCGAGCGAACAGACGAGGAGCUUGCUCCUCUGACGUUAGCGGCGGACGGGUGAGUAACACGUGGAUAACCUACCUAUAAGACUGGGAUAACUUCGGGAAACCGGAGCUAAUACCGGAUAAUAUAUUGAACCGCAUGGUUCAAUAGUGAAAGACGGUUUUGCUGUCACUUAUAGAUGGAUCCGCGCCGGAUUAGCUAGUUGGUAAGGUAACGGCUUACCAAGGCAACGAUGCGUAGCCGACCUGAGAGAGUGAUCGGCCACACUGAAACUGGGACACGGUCCAGACUCCUACGGGAGGCAGCAGUAGGGAAUGUUCCGCAAUGGGCGGAAGCCUGGCAGAGCAAGGCCGAGUGAGAGAUGAAGGUCUACGGUUCGGAAAACUCUAUUAUUAGGGAAAAACAAAUGUCUAAGUAGCUAUGCACGUCGUGACGGUACCUGAUCAGAAAGCCACGGCUAACUACGUG